RNAcentral lists this unclassified non-coding RNA (379 nucleotides) under plant metagenome. Its description in RNAcentral is "partial contains 5.8S ribosomal RNA, internal transcribed spacer 2, and large subunit ribosomal RNA". The stretch from base 1 to 106 matches the Rfam family "5.8S ribosomal RNA", at positions 49 to 154 of the family's 154-position model. The record is from RNAcentral.
CGAAAUGCGAUAAGUAAUGUGAAUUGCAGAAUUCAGUGAAUCAUCGAAUCUUUGAACGCACCUUGCGCUCCUUGGUAUUCCUUGGAGCAUGCCUGUUUGAGUAUCAUGAAAUCUUCAAAGUAAAUCUUUUGUUAACUCAAUUGGUUUCUACUUUGGUAUUGGAGGUCUUUGCAGCUUCACACCUGCUCCUCUUUGUUCAUUAGCUGGAUCUCAGUGUUAUGCUUGGUUUCACUCGGCGUGAUAAGUUAUCUAUCGCUGAGGACACUGUAAAAGGUGGCCAAGGUAAAUGCAGAUGAACCGCUUCUAAUAGUCCAUUGACUUGGACAAUACUUUUAUGAUCUGAUCUCAAAUCAGGUAGGACUACCCGCUGAACUUAAGC